Molecule: small nuclear RNA, 106 nt
Organism: Molossus molossus (Pallas's mastiff bat)
Lineage: Eukaryota; Metazoa; Chordata; Mammalia; Chiroptera; Molossidae
Source: RefSeq, a predicted model, not a curated record
GUACUCGCUUUGGCAGCACAUAUACUAAAAUUGGAACAAUACAGAGAGAUUUGCUUGACCCCUACACAAGGAUGACACACAGAUCUGUGAAGCAUUCCAUAUUUUU